GACGAAGAACGCAGCGAAAUGCGAUAAGUAAUGUGAAUUGCAGAAUUCAGUGAAUCAUCGAAUCUUUGAACGCACAUUGCGCCCCUUGGUAUUCCGAGGGGCAUGCCUGUUCGAGCGUCAUUAUAACCCCUCAAGCUCAGCUUGGUGUUGGGGCCUGCUGCACUGGCAGCCCUUAAAAUCAGUGGCGGCGCCAUCUGGCUCUAAGCGUAGUAAUUCUUCUCGCUAUGGAGUCCUGGUGGAUGCUUGCCAUCAACCCCCAAUUUUUCUAUGGUUGACCUCGGAUCAGGUAGGGAUACCCGCUGAACUUAAGCAUAUCAAUAAGCGGAGGA
RNAcentral lists this unclassified non-coding RNA (329 nucleotides) under soil metagenome. Its description in RNAcentral is "partial contains 5.8S ribosomal RNA, internal transcribed spacer 2, and large subunit ribosomal RNA". The stretch from base 1 to 120 matches the Rfam family "5.8S ribosomal RNA", at positions 35 to 154 of the family's 154-position model. The record is from RNAcentral.